RNAcentral lists this transfer RNA (74 nucleotides) under archaeon. RNAcentral's name for it is "tRNA-Thr". It matches the Rfam family "tRNA". Rfam says of the family: Transfer RNA (tRNA) molecules are approximately 80 nucleotides in length. The record is from RNAcentral.
GCCUCAGUAGCUCAGCCCGGUAGAGCAACUGCUUUGUAAGCAGUGGGUCGUGGGUUCAACUCCCAUCUGAGGCU